UACGUAGGGGGCAAGCGUUGUUCGGAAUUACUGGGCCUAAAGGGCGCGUAGGCGGCACGGCAAGUCAGGCGUGAAAGGCCUGGGCUCAACCGAGGAACUGCUUUUGAGACUGCCGAGCUAGAGUGCAGAAGGGGCAACUGGAAUUCCCAGUGUAGCGGUGAAAUGCGUAGAUAUUGGGAAGAACACCUGAGGCGAAGGCGGGUUGCUGGGCUGACACUGACGCUGAGGCGCGAAAGCCAGGGGAGCAAACGGG
This 253-nucleotide ribosomal RNA is filed under the name uncultured bacterium. RNAcentral's name for it is "partial 16S ribosomal RNA". It matches the Rfam family "Bacterial small subunit ribosomal RNA", at positions 524 to 776 of the family's 1533-position model. The record is from RNAcentral.